Molecule: ribosomal RNA, 435 nt
Filed under: uncultured bacterium
Lineage: Bacteria
Description: partial 16S ribosomal RNA
Rfam family: Bacterial small subunit ribosomal RNA
Source: RNAcentral
AACGAACGCUGGCGGCAGGCUUAACACAUGCAAGUCGAACGCAUGCCUUCGGGCAUGAGUGGCAGACGGGUGAGUAACGCGUGGGAACCUACCCCUUGGUACGGGAUAGCUCCGGGAAACUGGAGAUAAUACCGUAUGUGUCCUGAGGGACAAAGAUUCAUCGCCAAGGGAUGGGCCCGCGUCGGAUUAGCUAGUUGGUGGGGUAACGGCCUACCAAGGCGACGAUCCGUAGCUGGUCUAAGAGGAUGAUCAGCCACAUUGGGACUGAGACACGGCCCAAACUCCUACGGGAAGCAGCAGUGGGGAAUAUUGGACAAUGGGCGCAAGCCUGAUCCAGCCAUGCCGCGUGAGUGAUGAAGGCCCUAGGGUUGUAAAGCUCUUUCACCGGUGACGAUAAUGACGGUAACCGGAGAAGAAGCCCCGGCUAACUUCGUG